GGAGCCAGAUGGGUAGUAAACAUGAAU
Molecule: non-coding RNA, 27 nt
Filed under: Homo sapiens (human)
Lineage: Eukaryota; Metazoa; Chordata; Mammalia; Primates; Hominidae
Source: RNAcentral